AUACGGAGGGGGCUAGCGUUGUUCGGAAUUACUGGGCGUAAAGCGCGCGUAGGCGGACUGGAAAGUUGGGGGUGAAAUCCCGGGGCUCAACCUCGGAACUGCCUUCAAAACUAUCAGUCUGGAGUUCGAGAGAGGUGAGUGGAAUUCCGAGUGUAGAGGUGAAAUUCGUAGAUAUUCGGAGGAACACCAGUGGCGAAGGCGGCUCACUGGCUCGAUACUGACGCUGAGGUGCGAAAGCGUGGGGAGCAAACAGGAUUAGAUGCCCUGGUAGUCCACGCCCUAAACGAUGAAUGCCAGUCGUCGGCAAGCAUGCUUGUCGGUGACACACCUAACGGAUUAAGCAUUCCGCCUGGGGAGUACGGUCGCAAGAUUAAA
Molecule: ribosomal RNA, 375 nt
Filed under: uncultured bacterium
Lineage: Bacteria
Description: bacterial SSU rRNA
Rfam family: Bacterial small subunit ribosomal RNA
Source: RNAcentral